RNAcentral lists this unclassified non-coding RNA (191 nucleotides) under uncultured fungus. Its description in RNAcentral is "sequence contains ITS1". The record is from RNAcentral. Lineage: Eukaryota; Fungi.
UUAACUAUUAUAUAGUACUCAGACGACACUAACAUUCAGAGUUUGGGGUCCUCUGGCAGGCACGAUCCAGCGUAUGCCGGUGCCCGAAGGCGGCCUGCCAAAGCAACAAAGAUAUAAUAUACACGGGUGGGGUUUCUACCCAUAAGGGCAGGAACUCUGUAAUGAUCCUUCCGCAGGUUCACCUACGGAAA